Molecule: non-coding RNA, 116 nt
Organism: Caerostris extrusa
Lineage: Eukaryota; Metazoa; Arthropoda; Arachnida; Araneae; Araneidae
Source: the annotation of a GenBank genome assembly
AACGGUCAUACCAUGCUGAAUAUACCGGUUCUCGUUAGAUCACUGAAGUCAUGCAUCAUUGGGCGCGGUCAGCAUGGUAUUGGGUGGGUGACCACCUGGGAACACCGCGUGCCGUU